GAAGACUGACAGAGGCG
Molecule: ribosomal RNA, 17 nt
Filed under: Pisolithus albus
Lineage: Eukaryota; Fungi; Basidiomycota; Agaricomycetes; Boletales; Pisolithaceae
Description: partial 18S ribosomal RNA
Source: RNAcentral